CAUGCAAGUCGAGGGGCAGCGAGCGGGUAGCGAUACCUGUGUCGGCGACCGGCGCACUGGUGAGUAACACGUAUGCAACCUGCCCUCCGCAGGGGAAUAAACCGGGGAAAUCUGGUCUAAUGCCCCAUAGUCCCCGGGUCCGCAUGGGCCCGGGGGGAAAGAUCCGUCGGCGGGGGAUGGGCAUGCGGCGCAUUAGCUUGUUGGCGGGGCAGCGGCCCACCAAGGCGACGAUGCGUAGGGGUUCUGAGAGGAAGGUCCCCCACACUGGUACUGAGACACGGACCAGACUCCUACGGGAGGCAGCAGUGAGGAAUAUUGGUCAAUGGGCGGGAGCCUGAACCAGCCAAGUCGCGUGAGGGAUGACGGUCCUACGGAUUGUAAACCUCUUUAGCCGGGGAGUAACGUGUCCCACGCGUGGGGCAGUGAGAGUACCCGGAGAAUAAGCAUCGGCUAACUCCGUGCCAGCAGCCGCGGUAAUACGGAGGAUGCGAGCGUUAUCCGGAUUUAUUGGGUUUAAAGGGUGCGCAGGCGGCGCUCCAAGUCAGCGGUCAAAUGCCCGGGCUCAACCCGGGUCCGCCGUUGAUACUGGG
RNAcentral lists this ribosomal RNA (590 nucleotides) under uncultured bacterium. RNAcentral describes it as "bacterial SSU rRNA". It matches the Rfam family "Bacterial small subunit ribosomal RNA", at positions 54 to 637 of the family's 1533-position model. The record is from RNAcentral.